UGGCCAGCAUGCACGAGGAUAUUUCCAACU
This 30-nucleotide non-coding RNA is filed under the name Mus musculus (house mouse). The record is from RNAcentral. Lineage: Eukaryota; Metazoa; Chordata; Mammalia; Rodentia; Muridae.